AUGAACGCUGGCGGCGUGCCUAAUCCAUGCCAGUCGAGCGAACAGACGAGGAGCUUGCUCCUCUGACGUUAGCGGCGGACGGGUGAGUAACACGUGGAUAACCUACCUAUAAGACUGGGAUAACUUCGGGAAACCGGAGCUAAUACCGGAUAAUAUAUUGCACCGCAUGGUUCAAUAGUGAAAGACGGUUUUGCUGUCACUUAUAGAUGGAUCCGCGCCGCAUUAGCUAGUUGGUAAGGUAACGGCUUACCAAGGCAACGAUGCGUAGCCGACCUGAGAGGGUGAUCGGCCACACUGGAACUGAGACACGGUCCAGACUCCUACGGGAGGCAGCAGUAGGGAAUCUUCCGCAAUGGGCGAAAGCUUGACGGAGCAACGCCGCGUGAGUGAUGAAGGUCUUCGGAUCGUAAAACUCUGUUAUUAGGGAAGAACAAAUGUGUAAGUAACUAUGCACGUCUUGACGGUACCUAAUCAGAAAGCCACGGCUAACUACGUG
Molecule: ribosomal RNA, 496 nt
Filed under: uncultured bacterium
Lineage: Bacteria
Description: partial 16S ribosomal RNA
Rfam family: Bacterial small subunit ribosomal RNA
Source: RNAcentral